UCGUCGCCCAUGACCACUCGCUGGAGCUUCUCAACGCCGGCGACAGCCACUGUAGAACCGGCCAUGGCAGAGCAGGGAGCACAGUGCACCCGUGUGCUUGUGCCAUCGCCCUCCCGUGCCCUGUGCUUGGCCUCUUGCCCUCACUAUGACCGCGUGAGCCCCUCGACCUCUCCCAUCCGCUCUGAGCCCCACUCGUCGCCGCUCCAGAGACUUCUCCGGCGACCUCGAACCCCGUCUCGGCCGCGCCUAUAUAUAGGAGCCCUCCGAGCUCGUCCAGCCACACCACCCACCUUCUCUGAUCUCCACACUUCUUGUAGAAGGCCACGGCCAGGCCAGGCGGGCCUCUGGCCGCCGUUUCGCAUCGGAGAUCGCCGCCGAUCCCCUCUCGGUGCCCUACUUCCUCCGACGCUCCUCGAUGUCUUCCACCUCCUCUGGCGUGUUCGUGGUGUUCUCCUAGUCGUGUUGGUGCUGCUGGAGCUGCCGGAAUGCCCCUACCUUGCCAGAAUCCUCAACUCCGACGAACCGCCUUCACCGACGCCUCUGGAGACGACCACCACGAUGCUGUCCUCCACCUCUGACUGAGCUAUUGAGGGAACUUGCUGCCUUGAGGAGAACCAGGAGGAGUGUGAACCUCCUCUGCACUAAGGCAAGCCAUCACAAAUAUUUGCAAGAGUGUCAUUUCAAUAAGGAACUUGUUGCCUUGAGGAGAACCAGGAGGAGUGUGAACCUCCUCUGCACUAAGGCAAGCCAUCACAAAUAUUUGCAAGAGUGUCAUUUCAAUAAUUUCAGGAGAAGUCAUACCGUAGUUGGAGUUGCAUCGUUGCAUCGCAGUCUAGACCGUGUCCACAUCGGUGUCCUUGUGAGAUGGAGUUCCUCUACGUCGUCGUUCCGCUGCCGCGUAGCUUUAUUGUCGUGCUCGAGGUCCCUAUCAUGUUCAUUAAAUAAUGUACAUAUGUGCAACAGCACCGUGUGUGCCGCUUGGCCUCGCUAUCUGAUGUACUAUCAAACCUAUGCUUCAAUAAAGUGGUUGUCUUUCUGUACCAAGUUAUUGUGUGUUGCCAGA
Long non-coding RNA from Triticum aestivum (bread wheat), 1063 nucleotides. RefSeq lists it as uncharacterized. Lineage: Eukaryota; Viridiplantae; Streptophyta; Magnoliopsida; Poales; Poaceae. The record is from RefSeq and is a predicted model, not a curated record. The transcript has 4 exons.